RNAcentral lists this ribosomal RNA (440 nucleotides) under Acanthamoeba sp. MN-2014. Its description in RNAcentral is "SSU rRNA". It matches the Rfam family "Eukaryotic small subunit ribosomal RNA", at positions 765 to 1096 of the family's 1831-position model. The record is from RNAcentral. Lineage: Eukaryota; Discosea; Longamoebia; Acanthamoebidae.
GGAAGUGUGUUAAAGGGCAAGGGCAGAUCCAAUUUUCUGCCACCGAAUACAUUAGCAUGGGAUAAUGGAAUAGGACCCUGUCCUCCUAUUUUCAGUUGGUUUUGGCAGCGCGAGGACUAGGGUAAUGAUUAAUAGGGAUAGUUGGGGGCAUUAAUAUUUAAUUGUCAGAGGUGAAAUUCUUGGAUUUAUGAAAGAUUAACUUCUGCGAAAGCAUCUGCCAAGGAUGUUUUCAUUAAUCAAGAACGAAAGUUAGGGGAUCGAAGACGAUCAGAUACCGUCGUAGUCUUAACCAUAAACGAUGCCGACCAGCGAUUAGGAGACGUUGAAUACAAAACACCACCAUCGGUUGCGGUCGUCCUUGGCGUCUCGGUUUCGGCCGGGGCGCGGGGACGGUUUAGCCCGGUGGCACCGGUGAAUGACUCCCUAGCAGCUUGUGAGAA